This 209-nucleotide ribosomal RNA is filed under the name uncultured bacterium. Its description in RNAcentral is "partial 16S ribosomal RNA". It matches the Rfam family "Bacterial small subunit ribosomal RNA", at positions 28 to 225 of the family's 1533-position model. The record is from RNAcentral.
GACGAACGCUGGCGGCGUGCUUAACACAUGCAAGUCGAGCGGUAAGGCCCUUUCGGGGGUACGACGAGCGGCGAACGGGUAGGAGUAACAACGUGGGUGGACCUCGCCCUCCAGCUCUGGGAGUAAGCCUGGGAAACGUAGGGUCGUAAUAACUGGAUAUGACUCCACGGUGCAUGUCGUGGGGUGGGAAAGCCUUGUGCGGCUGAGGA